UGCCAGCAGCCGCGGUAAGACAGAGAUGGCAAGCGUUGUUCGGAAUUAUUGGGCUUAAAGCGCACGCAGGCGGGCCGUUAAGUGUCUGGUGAAAUCCCCCGGCUCAACCGGGGAAUGGCUGGGCAAACUGGCGGUCUUGAGGCCGAUAGGGGUACAUGGAACUCUAGGUGGAGCGGUGAAAUGCGUAGAUAUCUAGGGGAACGCCAGUGGUGAAAACGGUGUACUGGGUCGGUUCUGACGCUGAGGUGCGAAAGCGUGGGGAGCGAACGGGAUUAGAUACCCCGGUAGUCCACGCCGUAAACGAUGUCUACUAGGUCGCGGUCGGUCUGACCCGCUCGCGGCCGAAGCUAAAGUGCUAAGUAGACCGCCUGGGGAGUACGGUCGCAAGGCUAAAACUCAAAGGAAUUGACGGGGGCCCGCACAAGC
Molecule: ribosomal RNA, 426 nt
Filed under: uncultured bacterium
Lineage: Bacteria
Description: bacterial SSU rRNA
Rfam family: Bacterial small subunit ribosomal RNA
Source: RNAcentral